AUUGAACGCUGGCGGCAGGCCUAACACAUGCAAGUCGAGCGGAUGAAGGGAGCUUGCUCCUGGAUUCAGCGGCGGACGGGUGAGUAAUGCCUAGGAAUCUGCCUGGUGGUGGGGGAUAACGUCCGGAAACGGGCGCUAAUACCGCAUACGUCCUGAGGGAGAAAGUGGGGGAUCUUCGGACCUCACGCUAUCAGAUGAGCCUAGGUCGGAUUAGCUAGUUGGUGGGGUAAAGGCCUACCAAGGCGACGAUCCGUAACUGGUCUGAGAGGAUGAUCAGUCACACUGGAACUGAGGCACGGUCCAGACUCCUACGGGAGGCAGCAGUGGGGAAUAUUGGACAAUGGGCGAAAGCCUGAUCCAGCCAUGCCGCGUGUGUGAAGAAGGUCUUCGGAUUGUAAAGCACUUUAAGUUGGGAGGAAGGGCAGUAAGUUAAUACCUUGCUGUUUUGACGUUACCAACAGAAUAAGCACCGGCUAACUUCGUG
This 484-nucleotide ribosomal RNA is filed under the name uncultured bacterium. RNAcentral's name for it is "partial 16S ribosomal RNA". It matches the Rfam family "Bacterial small subunit ribosomal RNA", at positions 30 to 507 of the family's 1533-position model. The record is from RNAcentral.